This 208-nucleotide long non-coding RNA is filed under the name Arachis ipaensis. Its description in RNAcentral is "long non-coding RNA (AIPA_LNC000698)". Lineage: Eukaryota; Viridiplantae; Streptophyta; Magnoliopsida; Fabales; Fabaceae. The record is from RNAcentral.
UCAUGUUUAUCACUUAAUUUGAGAUGUAUAAUAAAACACUCAUGGUGGUUAUUGAUGCAGACGAUGUUCAGCACAGAAAACAUGAGGAUCUUGGGCAACAAUUUUACUAAAGAUUUUGUUUCAAUCCAUUGUCCUUUAAACCACUCCAUUUAAGUAAGGCAUAUAUUGUUGCUUAAAAUUUCAAAAGCAAACCUGGAAAGGCAUAAUA